AGUAGGGAAUAUUGGACAAUGGGCGAAAGCCUGAUCCAGCAAUGCCGCGUGAGUGAUGAAGGCCUUAGGGUUGUAAAGCUCUUUUACCCGGGAAGAUAAUGACUGUACCGGGAGAAUAAGCUCCGGCUAACUCCGUGCCAGCAGCCGCGGUAAUACGGAGGGAGCUAGCGUUGUUCGGAAUUACUGGGCGUAAAGCGCACGUAGGCGGCGAAGCAAGUCAGGGGUGAAAUCCCGGGGCUCAACCCCGGAACUGCCCUUGAAACUGCUUUGCUAGAAUCCUGGAGAGGCGAGUGGAAUUCCGAGUGUAGAGGUGAAAUUCGUAGAUAUUCGGAAGAACACCAGUGGCGAAGGCGACUCGCUGGACAGGUAUUGACGCUGAGGUGCGAAAGCGUGGGGAGCAAA
RNAcentral lists this ribosomal RNA (402 nucleotides) under uncultured Altererythrobacter sp. RNAcentral's name for it is "bacterial SSU rRNA". It matches the Rfam family "Bacterial small subunit ribosomal RNA", at positions 353 to 772 of the family's 1533-position model. Lineage: Bacteria; Pseudomonadati; Pseudomonadota; Alphaproteobacteria; Sphingomonadales; Erythrobacteraceae. The record is from RNAcentral.